RNAcentral lists this long non-coding RNA (615 nucleotides) under Cricetulus griseus (Chinese hamster). RNAcentral describes it as "lncRNA (ENSCGRG00015029570.1)". Lineage: Eukaryota; Metazoa; Chordata; Mammalia; Rodentia; Cricetidae. The record is from RNAcentral.
GUCAAAUUAGAAGUUGCCUCUCUACAGUCAGGCAAAGGAGAAAGUUGGAAUAAGAAAAGCACACAUCCUGUUUCAAAGACAGAGAGAGGAAGAGCCAUGGAAAUCUACAAAAGAGAGUUGACUGCACACCUGGAAACUUUAAGAGAAUUUACGACACUGGGCCGAUGUAAAUUAUACUCUACAGAACACAAGAACUUGGGGGCAAGAUCUCAGAUAGUGAAGUAAUCUCCAAGAAAACACGGGAGCUGCCAGACACUGCGUGCCUAACAGGAUGGCUGCUAAGAUCCUCCUGAAGUGACUUCAUCACAGACACUUGUUGUUGACCAGCUAUUAGAGGACCAAAUUACUGUUACAGUCCAUUAUUGAGAGAAGCCUCGGGGCUGACACUGAAGCCAAGCACUGAAAGGAACGUGACUUCCUGGCUUGCUCAGCCGCCAGUCUUAGACAGCUCAGACCCAGCUGUCCAGCGAGGUACCACCCGUACAAUUAGCAACCAAGAAAACGCCCACAGGCCAAUAUGAUGGGGUCAAACCCUCAGAGGAGCGUCCCUCAUCCAGUUGAAGAAAAGCAGGCACCUCACCCACCAUGAUGGACUGACUGUACCAUUGAACUGGG